CCUACGGGAGGCAGCAGUGGGGAAUCUUGGACNAUGGGNGCAAGCCUGAUCCAGCCAUGCCGCGUGAGUGAUGAAGGCCUUAGGGUCGUAAAGCUCUUUCGCCAGAGAUGAUAAUGACAGUAUCUGGUAAAGAAACCCCGGCUAACUCCGUGCCAGCAGCCGCGGUAAUACGGAGGGGGUUAGCGUUGUUCGGAAUUACUGGGCGUAAAGCGCGCGUAGGCGGACUAGUCAGUCAGGGGUGAAAUCCCGGGGCUCAACCCCGGAACUGCCUUUGAUACUGCUAGUCUAGAGUUCGAGAGAGGUGAGUGGAAUUCCGAGUGUAGAGGUGAAAUUCGUAGAUAUUCGGAGGAACACCAGUGGCGAAGGCGGCUCACUGGCUCGAUACUGACGCUGAGGUGCGAAAGUGUGGGGAGCAAACAGGAUUAGAUACCCUGGUAGUCCACACCGUAAACGAUGAAUGCCAGUCGUCGGGUAGCAUGCUAUUCGGUGACACACCUAACGGAUUAAGCAUUCCGCCUGGGGAGUACGGUCGCAAGAUUAAAACUCAAAGGAAUUGACGG
This 560-nucleotide ribosomal RNA is filed under the name bacterium enrichment culture clone OB98. Its description in RNAcentral is "bacterial SSU rRNA". It matches the Rfam family "Bacterial small subunit ribosomal RNA", at positions 338 to 916 of the family's 1533-position model. The record is from RNAcentral.